This 1191-nucleotide ribosomal RNA is filed under the name Triticum aestivum (bread wheat). RNAcentral's name for it is "partial small subunit ribosomal RNA". Lineage: Eukaryota; Viridiplantae; Streptophyta; Magnoliopsida; Poales; Poaceae. The record is from RNAcentral.
AUGGAGGGGUGGUUCAGCUUGUGUUUCGUAGCACUAGGUAUGCCGCUUGCCCUUUGGCUUCUCAAGCUCGCCGGCGGCAAGAACAAGCCACAGAAGCACCAGCUGCCGCCAGGGCCAUGGACUCUCCCGAUCAUGGGUAGCCUCCACCACGUAGUCAGCCUCGUCCCACACCGGAAAAUCACGCAGCUGUGUCGCCGAUAUGGGCCAAUGAUGCACCUCAAGCUAGGCGAGGUGGACGCCGUGGUGGUCUCCAGCGCCGAGGCGGUGGCCCAGGUGAUGAAGACCAACGACCUCACGUUUGCCACCCGGCCGGGCACCCCGACGCAGGACAUCGCCGGCUGUGGCGGCAGGGGCAUCAUCUUUGCUCCCUACGGCGACCACUGGCGCCAGAUGCGUAAGGUCUGCAUUGUGGAGCUGCUCAGCUCCGUGCAGGUCAGGCGCAUGGAGAGCAUCCGGCCAGAGGAGGUGGGCAACCUCCUGGCUGACAUCGCCACCGCCGCGGCGGCCCGCAACAGCAUCAACAUCAGCGAGAAAAUGAUGGAGCUCAGCAACAACGUCGUGUCGCAGGCGGUGUUCGGCGGCAGGUUCACGCAGCAGGACGAGUACAUCCACGAGCUGGACGUGGUGCUCACCCUGCUGGGCGGCUUCUGCCUCGUCGACCUCUUCCCGUCGUCACGGUUGGCACGGUGGCUCAGCUUUGGCGCGCGGCGCAUGAAGAAGAGCUACGGCCGCAUGCAGCGCAUCAUCGCCGACGUGAUUGAGGAGCGCAAGGCCGCGCGAGCUGCUGGUGAUGGGGCCUCAAGCACCGAUGACGAGGACCUGCUGGACGUGCUGCUCAGGCUACAGAACGAUGAUUCGUUGGAAUUCCCUCUAACCACAAAGAGCAUAUGCGCCGUCUUAUUUGAUAUAUUCUCUGGUGCCACAGAUACCACAGGAACAAUUUUGGAAUGGGCUAUGUCAGAGCUCGUCCGUCAUCCUGAAACAAUAUUUAAGUCUCAACUAGAGAUAAGAAAAGUAUUAGGUCAAGAUCGAACAACCAUAAAAAAUAGUGACCUUGGAAACCUCCACUACAUGCGAAUGGUCAUUAAGGAGGUUCUUAGGUUGCACCUACCAGCUCCACUAAUCCCACGGAUGGCCAGAAUGGAUUUAAAAUUAUGGGUUAUGAGCUGCUUAAAGGCACCACUAUAUUAA